RNAcentral lists this non-coding RNA (31 nucleotides) under Mus musculus (house mouse). Lineage: Eukaryota; Metazoa; Chordata; Mammalia; Rodentia; Muridae. The record is from RNAcentral.
UGCAAUUGGUUAGCCUGUGAUGCUUAUACAG